UCCUUCGUGGCGCAAUUGGCUAGCGCGUUCGACUGUUAGCUUGUCUUCGGACUCCUGCGAUCGAGAGGUUCCUAGUUCAAGCCUAGGCGGGGGAG
This is a non-coding RNA of Delphinella strobiligena, 95 nucleotides long. NCBI's taxonomy places the organism in Eukaryota, Fungi, Ascomycota, Dothideomycetes, Dothideales, Dothioraceae. The record is from the annotation of a GenBank genome assembly.